GGCGUGCCUAAUACAUGCAAGUCGAACGCUUCACUUCGGUGAAGAGUGGCGAGGGGGUGAGUAAUACAUAAGUAACCUGGCAUCUACAGGGGGAUAACUGAUGGAAACGUCAGCUAACACCGCAUAGGUGUAGAGAUCGCAUGAACUCUAUAUGAAAAGUGCUACGGGACUGGUAGAUGAUGGACUUAUGGCGCAUUAGCUUGUUGGUUAGGGUACCGCCUACCCAAGGCGACGAUGCGUAGCGGACUUGAAAGGGUGACCCGGCCACACUGGGGACUGAGACACGGCCCAGACUCCUACGGGAGGCAGCAGUAGGAAAUUUUCGGCAAUGGGGGAAACCCUGACCGAGCAACGCCGCGUGAAGGAAGAAGUAAUUCGUUAUGUAAACUUCUGUCAUAGAGGAAGAACGGUGGAUAUAGGGAAUGAUAUCCAAGUGACGGUACUCUAUAAGAAAGCCACGGCUAACUACGUGCCAGCAGCCGCGGUAAUACGUAGGUGGCGAGCGUUAUCCGGAAUUAUUGGGCGUAAAGAGGGAGCAGGCGGCACUAAGGGUCUGUGGUGAAAGAUCGAAGCUUAACUUCGGUAAGCCAUGGAAACCGUAGAGCUAGAGUGUGUGAGAGGAUCGUGGAAUUCCAUGUGUAGCGGUGAAAUGCGUAGAUAUAUGGAGGAACACCAGUGGCGAAGGCGACGAUCUGGCGCAUAACUGACGCUCAGUCCCGAAAGCGUGGGGAGCAAAUAGGAUUAGAUACCCUAGUAGUCCACGCCGUAAACGAUGAGUGCUAAGUGUUGGGGGUCAAAGCUCAAGUGCUGCCAGUUAAGCAAUAAAGUACUCCGCCUGAGUAGUACGUUCGCAAGAUGAAAACUCAAAGGAAUGAACGGGGGCCCGCACAAGCGGUGGAGCAUGUGGUUUAAUUCGAAGCAACGCGAAGAACCUUACCAGGUCUUGACAUCGAUCUAAAGGCUCCAGAGAUGGAGAGAUAGCUAUAGAGAAGACAGGUGGUGCAUGGUUGUCGUCAGCUCGUGUCGUGAGAUGUUGGGUUAAGUCCCGCAACGAGCGCAACCCCUGUUGCCAGUUGCCAGCAUUAAGUUGGGGACUCUGGCGAGACUGCCGGUGACAAGCCGGAGGAAGGCGGGGAUGACGUCAAAUCAUCAUGCCCCUUAUGACCUGGGCUACACACGUGCUACAAUGGACAGAGCAGAGGGAAGCGAAGCCGCGAGGUGGAGCGAAACCCAUAAAACUGUUCUCAGUUCGGACUGCAGUCUGCAACUCGACUGCACGAAGAUGGAAUCGCUAGUAAUCGCGAAUCAGCAUGUCGCGGUGAAUACGUUCUCGGGCCUUGUACACACCGCCCGUC
This 1355-nucleotide ribosomal RNA is filed under the name uncultured bacterium. RNAcentral's name for it is "16S ribosomal RNA". It matches the Rfam family "Bacterial small subunit ribosomal RNA", at positions 41 to 1398 of the family's 1533-position model. The record is from RNAcentral.